CACGUAGUUAGCCGUCCCUUUCUGGUAAGAUACCGUCACAGUGUGAACUUUUCACUCUCACACUCGUUCUUCUCUUACAACAGAGCUUUACGAUCCGAAAACCUUCUUCACUCACGCGGCGUUGCUCGGUCAGACUUCCGUCCAUUGCCGAAGAUUCCCUACUGCUGCCUCCCGUAGGAGUCUGGGCCGUGUCUCAGUCCCAGUGUGGCCGAUCACCCUCUCAGGUCGGCUAUGUAUCGUCGCCUUGGUGAGCCGUUACCUCACCAACUAGCUAAUACAACGCAGGUCCAUCUGGUAGUGAUGCAAUUGCACCUUUCAAGCAGAUAUCAUGCAAUAUCUACUGUUAUGCGGUAUUAGCUAUCGUUUCCAAUAGUUAUCCCCCGCUACCAGGCAGGUUACCUACGCGUUACUCACCCGUUCGCAACUCAUCCGGAGAAGCAAGCUCCUCCUUCAGCGUUCUACUUGCAUGUAUUAGGCACGCCGCCAGCGUUCG
Molecule: ribosomal RNA, 493 nt
Filed under: uncultured Streptococcus sp.
Lineage: Bacteria; Bacillati; Bacillota; Bacilli; Lactobacillales; Streptococcaceae
Description: partial 16S ribosomal RNA
Source: RNAcentral